GAGAUGAUAGCUCAGUUGGUAGAGCAACGCCCUUUUAAGGCGUGGGUCCUGGGUUCAAGUCCCAGUCGUCUCACCA
This 76-nucleotide transfer RNA is filed under the name Lentisphaeria bacterium. RNAcentral describes it as "tRNA-Lys". It matches the Rfam family "tRNA". From Rfam's summary of the family: Transfer RNA (tRNA) molecules are approximately 80 nucleotides in length. Their secondary structure includes four short double-helical elements and three loops (D, anti-codon, and T loops). RNAcentral also lists the same sequence under 1 other name. Lineage: Bacteria; Pseudomonadati; Lentisphaerota; Lentisphaeria. The record is from RNAcentral.